GAUGAACGCUGGCGGCGUGCCUAAUACAUGCAAGUCGAGCGAACAGAUAAGGAGCUUGCUCCUUUGACGUUAGCGGCGGACGGGUGAGUAACACGUGGGUAACCUACCUAUAAGACUGGAAUAACUCCGGGAAACCGGGGCUAAUGCCGGAUAACAUUUAGAACCGCAUGGUUCUAAAGUGAAAGAUGGUUUUGCUAUCACUUAUAGAUGGACCCGCGCCGUAUUAGCUAGUUGGUAAGGUAACGGCUUACCAAGGCAACGAUACGUAGCCGACCUGAGAGGGUGAUCGGCCACACUGGAACUGAGACACGGUCCAGACUCCUAAGGGAGGCAGCAGUAGGGAAUCUUCCGCAAUGGGCGAAAGCCUGACGGAGCAACGCCGCGUGAGUGAUGAAGGUCUUCGGAUCGUAAAACUCUGUUAUUAGGGAAGAACAAAUGUGUAAGUAACUGUGCACGUCUUGACGGUACCUAAUCAGAAGGCCACGGCUAACUACGUG
Molecule: ribosomal RNA, 497 nt
Filed under: uncultured bacterium
Lineage: Bacteria
Description: partial 16S ribosomal RNA
Rfam family: Bacterial small subunit ribosomal RNA
Source: RNAcentral